RNAcentral lists this ribosomal RNA (595 nucleotides) under Staphylococcus aureus. RNAcentral describes it as "partial 23S ribosomal RNA". It matches the Rfam family "Bacterial large subunit ribosomal RNA", at positions 1344 to 1934 of the family's 2925-position model. The record is from RNAcentral. Lineage: Bacteria; Bacillati; Bacillota; Bacilli; Caryophanales; Staphylococcaceae.
ACUAAGGUUUCCAGAGGAAGGCUCGUCCGCUCUGGGUUAGUCGGGUCCUAAGCUGAGGCCGACAGGCGUAGGCGAUGGAUAACAGGUUGAUAUUCCUGUACCACCUAUAAUCGUUUUAAUCGAUGGGGGGACGCAGUAGGAUAGGCGAAGCGUGCGAUUGGAUUGCACGUCUAAGCAGUAAGGCUGAGUAUUAGGCAAAUCCGGUACUCGUUAAGGCUGAGCUGUGAUGGGGAGAAGACAUUGUGUCUUCGAGUCGUUGAUUUCACACUGCCGAGAAAAGCCUCUAGAUAGAAAAUAGGUGCCCGUACCGCAAACCGACACAGGUAGUCAAGAUGAGAAUUCUAAGGUGAGCGAGCGAACUCUCGUUAAGGAACUCGGCAAAAUGACCCCGUAACUUCGGGAGAAGGGGUGCUCUUUAGGGUUAACGCCCAGAAGAGCCGCAGUGAAUAGGCCCAAGCGACUGUUUAUCAAAAACACAGGUCUCUGCUAAACCGUAAGGUGAUGUAUAGGGGCUGACGCCUGCCCGGUGCUGGAAGGUUAAGAGGAGUGGUUAGCUUCUGCGAAGCUACGAAUCGAAGCCCCAGUAAACGGCGGC